This 547-nucleotide ribosomal RNA is filed under the name Gastrotheca griswoldi (Griswold's marsupial frog). Its description in RNAcentral is "partial 16S ribosomal RNA". It matches the Rfam family "Bacterial large subunit ribosomal RNA", at positions 1812 to 2573 of the family's 2925-position model. Lineage: Eukaryota; Metazoa; Chordata; Amphibia; Anura; Hemiphractidae. The record is from RNAcentral.
AACAUCGCCUCUUGAAAAACAUAAGAGGUCCAGCCUGCCCAGUGACUCUGUUCAACGGCCGCGGUAUCCUAACCGUGCGAAGGUAGCGUAAUCACUUGUCCUUUAAAUGGGGACUAGUAUGAAUGGCACCACGAGGGUUAUACUGUCUCCUUUUUUUAAUCAGUGAAACUAAUCCCCCCGUGAAGAAGCGGGGAUACACCUAUAAGACGAGAAGACCCUAUGGAGCUUUAAACAAAACAACAUUUGCUUUAACCUACACCGAUCUCAGGAAAUCAACCCCUAGUUUAGCAUUAUGAUUGUUAGUUUUAGGUUGGGGUGACCGCGGAGUAAAAAAUAACCUCCACAAUGAAUGGGAUCUUCCCUAAGCAAAAAGCCACAACUUUAUGCAUCAACAAAUUGACAUCACUUGACCCAAUAUUUUGAUCAACGAAACAAGUUACCCUAGGGAUAACAGCGCAAUCCACUUAGAGAGCCCGUAUCGACAAGUGGGUUUACGACCUCGAUGUUGGAUCAGGGUAUCCCGGUGGUGCAGCCGCUACUAAAGGUU